This is a non-coding RNA of Caenorhabditis elegans, 21 nucleotides long. NCBI's taxonomy places the organism in Eukaryota, Metazoa, Nematoda, Chromadorea, Rhabditida, Rhabditidae. The record is from Ensembl.
UCUCAACCAAUCCUAAUUUUU